Molecule: long non-coding RNA, 338 nt
Organism: Esox lucius (northern pike)
Lineage: Eukaryota; Metazoa; Chordata; Actinopteri; Esociformes; Esocidae
Source: Ensembl
GUGGUUGGUUUCAGCACUAACCCAGAUGUGGUUUGUUUCUGCACUAACCCAGAGGUGGUUUGUUUCUGCACUAACCCAGAGGUGGUUGGUUUCAGCACUAACCCAGAGGUGGUUGGUUUCAGCACUAACCCAGAGGUGGUUGGUUUCUGCACUAACCCAGAGGUGGUUGGUUUCUGCACUAACCCAGAGGUGGUUGGUUUCUGCACUAACCCAGAGGUGGUUUGUUUCUGCACUAAUCCAGAGGUGGUUGGUUUCAGCACUAAUCCAGAGGUGGUUUGUUUCUGCACUAAUCCAGAGGUGGUUUGUUUCUGCACUAACCCAGAGGUGGUUUGUUUCUG